UUGAAACAUUGGUUCCCGUAUGAUCACAGAAGUUACGCAACGUCAAUUCUUGUCAGUACCUAGAUGGGUGACCGCUUGGGAAUACCAGGUGUUGUAAG
This is a non-coding RNA of Acanthosepion pharaonis, 98 nucleotides long. NCBI's taxonomy places the organism in Eukaryota, Metazoa, Mollusca, Cephalopoda, Sepiida, Sepiidae. The record is from the annotation of a GenBank genome assembly.